GCCUUCCUACGGGAGGCAGCAGUGGGGAAUAUUGCACAAUGGGGGAAACCCUGAUGCAGCGACGCCGCGUGAGUGAAGAAGUAUUUCGGUAUGUAAAGCUCUAUCAGCAGGGAAGAAAAUGACGGUACCUGACUAAGAAGCCCCGGCUAACUACGUACCAGCAGCCGCGGUAAUACGUAGGGGGCAAGCGUUAUCCGGAUUUACUGGGUGUAAAGGGAGCGUAGACGGCAGUGCAAGUCUGGAGUGAAAGGCGGGGGCUCAACCCCUGGACUGCUCUGGAAACUGUACGGCUGGAGUGCAGGAGG
Molecule: ribosomal RNA, 305 nt
Filed under: uncultured bacterium
Lineage: Bacteria
Description: bacterial SSU rRNA
Rfam family: Bacterial small subunit ribosomal RNA
Source: RNAcentral